This 471-nucleotide ribosomal RNA is filed under the name uncultured bacterium. Its description in RNAcentral is "partial 16S ribosomal RNA". It matches the Rfam family "Bacterial small subunit ribosomal RNA", at positions 338 to 795 of the family's 1533-position model. The record is from RNAcentral.
CCUACGGGUGGCAGCAGUAGGGAAUCUUCCACAAUGGACGAAAGUCUGAUGGAGCAACGCCGCGUGAGUGAAGAAGGUUUUCGGCUCGUAAAGCUCUGUUGGUAGUGAAGAAAGAUAGAGGGAGUAACUGGCCUUUAUUUGACGGUAAUUACUUAGAAAGUCACGGCUAACUACGUGCCAGCAGCCGAGGUAAUACGUAGGUGGCAAGCGUUGUCCGGAUUUAUUGGGCGUAAAGCGAGUGCAGGCGGUUCAAUAAGUCUGAUGUGAAGGCCUUCGGCUCAACCGGAGAAUUGCAUCAGAAACUGUUGAACUUGAGUGCAGAAGAGGAGAGUGGAACUCCAUGUGCAGGGGUGGAAUGCGUAGAUAUAUGGAAGAACAGCAGCGGCGAAGGCGGCUCUCUGGUCUGCAACUGCAACUGACACUGAUGCUCGAAAGCGUGGGUAUCAAACAGGAUUAGAUACCCUAGUAGUC